RNAcentral lists this unclassified non-coding RNA (502 nucleotides) under Hevea brasiliensis (rubber tree). The record is from RNAcentral. Lineage: Eukaryota; Viridiplantae; Streptophyta; Magnoliopsida; Malpighiales; Euphorbiaceae.
AAUAUCCGAGGAGAAGGCCUUUGCAAUGUUGCAUCAGGGAUCACGAUAUCGUUCCUUAAAUGUAUUAGGGGCAAAAGAAAUAUGAUAUUCUCCUAAAAAUUGAUUUUACUUGGAAUCAUAUAUCUAUAGCAACUAAAAGAACUUUGUUAAUCAGAAUUUUGAGACAAGUCUUAGCCGGAUUUUCUUUUGCAUCACAUUCACAAGAAAUUAAACGCUUCAAAUUAAACUUUUUCUCAUCACAGGAAGUAUUAGGUAUCGAAUUGUACCAAAAGCAAGCAUACCUGUUGGUGCUGACUGUUUCUUUUUCUUUCCUUCGUUUUUUCUCCUCCUAGAAAACAUGUCAUUGUUCGAGUUCUACUUUAGCAAGCUUCGGAUCUCAACUUUUGGUUGGAGAGUGUGAUCGUUUGUUUCAUCUUUAAUGAGUUACAUAGGCACAUUCUUUUGUUAGAGGAUACUUUCGUUAAAGCAUGUUUGGUAAAUCUUUAAUUAUAUGGAUUGCAAU